AGAGGCCUAGAGACCACAUCCCCCUCUGUGGGUCAGAGAUCAAGCCUGCUGCUCUCCACCAUGGCCUGGACCCCUCUCCUGCUCCCCCUCCUCGCUCUCUGUACAGGCUCUGUGGCCUCCUAUCAGCUGACCCAGUCGCCUUCUUUGUCAGUGGCUCCAGGAGAGACAGCCAGGAUCACCUGCUCUGGAGACUUACUAGACAAAAAAUAUACUCAUUGGUUCCAGCAGAAGCCAGGCCAGGCCCCUGUGCGGGUCAUCUAUAAUGAUAGAGAACGGCCCUCAGGGAUCCCUGACCGAUUCUCUGGCUCCAGCUCAGGGAAGACGGCCACCCUGACCAUCAGUGGAACCCAGGCCGAGGAUGAGGCUGACUAUUACUGCCUAUCAAGCAACAGUGAUGGUACUACUCACAGUGACAGAGGCAGAUGGGGAAGUGAGACACAAACUCCCUUCCUAGUGUGUGUCACUCUCCUACAGCCCCAGGAGGACUGGUGACAAAUCCAUGAGCAA
This is a non-coding RNA of Hipposideros armiger (great roundleaf bat), 507 nucleotides long. NCBI's taxonomy places the organism in Eukaryota, Metazoa, Chordata, Mammalia, Chiroptera, Hipposideridae. The record is from the annotation of a RefSeq genome assembly.